UGGGGAAUAUUGGACAAUGGGGGCAACCCUGAUCCAGCCAUGCCGCGUGAGUGAUGAAGGCCUUAGGGUUGUAAAACUCUUUUGUCCGGGAAGAUAAUGACUGUACCGGAAGAAUAAGCCCCGGCUAACUUCGUGCCAGCAGCCGCGGUAAUACGAAGGGGGCUAGCGUUGUUCGGAAUCACUGGGCGUAAAGCGCACGUAGGCGGAUCGUUAAGUCAGAGGUGAAAUCCCGGAGCUCAACUUCGGAACUGCCUUUGAUACUGGCGAUCUCGAGUUUGGAAGAGGUUGGUGGAACUGCGAGUGUAGAGGUGAAAUUCGUAGAUAUUCGCAAGAACACCAGUGGCGAAGGCGGCCAACUGGUCCAAUACUGACGCUGAGGUGCGAAAGCGUGGGGAGCAAACAGG
RNAcentral lists this ribosomal RNA (404 nucleotides) under uncultured bacterium. RNAcentral describes it as "bacterial SSU rRNA". It matches the Rfam family "Bacterial small subunit ribosomal RNA", at positions 355 to 776 of the family's 1533-position model. The record is from RNAcentral.